Regulatory RNA element from Clostridium celatum DSM 1785, 173 nucleotides. It matches the Rfam family "Lysine riboswitch aptamer". Rfam says of the family: Riboswitches are metabolite binding domains within certain messenger RNAs that serve as precision sensors for their corresponding targets. Allosteric rearrangement of mRNA structure is mediated by ligand binding, and this results in modulation of gene expression. The record is from Rfam. NCBI's taxonomy places the organism in Bacteria, Bacillati, Bacillota, Clostridia, Eubacteriales, Clostridiaceae.
UAUUUAGAUAGAGGUGCGGUACUUAAGAGUACUACUAAGGAUUUAAGCAUGUUAAAUUAGUAUGAAAGGAUUUAUCGCCGAAGCAUAUAACAAAAGCUUUAAUGUUAUAUAGCUGGAAGUAUGUAUAAUAUGCAUAUUUCUGUCACAUUAUUAUGUGAUGAGCUAUCAUUUAA